AAAAAAGGUAAGCUACUAAGAGCGAAUGGUGGAUGCCUUGACUGGUAAAGGCGAUGAAGGACGUACUAGACUGCGAUAAGCUACGGGGAGCUGUCAAGAAGCUUUGAUCCGUAGAUUUCCGAAUGGGGCAACCCAAUGUAUAGAGAUAUACAUUACCUAUAUAGGAGCGAACGAGGGGAAUUGAAACAUCUUAGUACCCUCAGGAAAAGAAAUCAAUAGAGAUUGCGUCAGUAGCGGCGAGCGAAAGCGUAAGAGGGCAAACCCAGUGCUUGCACUGGGGGUUGUAGGACUGCAAUGUGCAAGAGGUGAGUUUAGCAGAACAUUCUGGAAAGUAUAGCCAUAGAGGGUGAUAGUCCCGUAUGCGAAAAACAAACCUUAGCUAGCAGUAUCCUGAGUAGGGCGGGACACGAGAAAUCCUGUCUGAAGCUGGGUCGACCACGAUCCAACCCUAAAUACUAAUACCAGAUCGAUAGUGCACAAGUACCGUGAGGGAAAGGUGAAAAGAACCGCGGUGAGCGGAGUGAAAUAGAACCUGAAACCAUUUGCUUACAAUCAUUCAGAGCACUAUGUAGCAAUACAGUGUGAUGGACUGCCUUUUGCAUAAUGAGCCUGCGAGUUGUGGUGUCUGGCAAGGUUAAGCAAACGCGAAGCCGUAGCGAAAGCGAGUCUGAAUAGGGCGCUUAGUCAGAUGCUGCAGACCCGAAACGAAGUGAUCUAUCCAUGAGCAAGUUGAAGCUAGUGUAAGAACUAGUGGAGGACUGAACCCAUAGGCGUUGAAAAGCCCCGGGAUGACUUGUGGAUAGGGGUGAAAGGCCAAUCAAACUUCGUGAUAGCUGGUUCUCUCCGAAAUAUAUUUAGGUAUAGCGUUGUGUCGUAAUAUAAGGGGGUAGAGCACUGAAUGGGCUAGGGCAUACACCAAUGUACCAAACCCUAUCAAACUCCGAAUACCUUAUAUGUAAUCACAGCAGUCAGGCGGCGAGUGAUAAAAUCCGUCGUCAAGAGGGAAACAACCCAGACUACCAGCUAAGGUCCCUAAAUCUUACUUAAGUGGAAAACGAUGUGAAGUUACUUAAACAACCAGGAGGUUGGCUUAGAAGCAGCCAUCCUUUAAAGAAAGCGUAAUAGCUCACUGGUCUAGUGAUUUUGCGCGGAAAAUAUAACGGGGCUAAAGUAAGUACCGAAGCUGUAGACUUGAUUUUAUCAAGUGGUAGGAGAGCGUUCUAUUUGCGCCGAAGGUAUACCGGUAAGGAGUGCUGGAGCGAAUAGAAGUGAGCAUGCAGGCAUGAGUAGCGAUAAUUAAUGUGAGAAUCAUUAACGCCGUAAACCCAAGGUUUCCUACGCGAUGCUCGUCAUCGUAGGGUUAGUCGGGUCCUAAGUCGAGUCCGAAAGGGGUAGACGAUGGCAAAUUGGUUAAUAUUCCAAUACCAACAUUAGUGUGCGAUGGAAGGACGCUUAGGGCUAAGGGGGCUAGCGGAUGGAAGUGCUAGUCUAAGGUCGUAGGAGGUUAUACAGGCAAAUCCGUAUAACAUACUCCGAGAACUGAAAGGCUUUUUGAAGUCUUCGGAUGGAUAGAAGAACCCCUGAUGCCGUCGAGCCAAGAAAAGUUUCUAAGUUUAGCUAAUGUUGCCCGUACCGUAAACCGACACAGGUGGGUGGGAUGAGUAUUCUAAGGCGCGUGGAAGAACUCUCUUUAAGGAACUCUGCAAAAUAGCACCGUAUCUUCGGUAUAAGGUGUGGUUCGCUUCGUAUUAGGAUUUACUCCGAAAGCGAAGAAACUUACAACAAAGAGUCCCUCCCGACUGUUUACCAAAAACACAGCACUCUGCUAACUCGUAAGAGGAUGUAUAGGGUGUGACGCCUGCCCGGUGCUCGAAGGUUAAUUGAUGGGGUUAGCAUUAGCGAAGCUCUUGAUCGAAGCCCGAGUAAACGGCGGCCGUAACUAUAACGGUCCUAAGGUAGCGAAAUUCCUUGUCGGUUAAAUACCGACCUGCAUGAAUGGCGUAACGAGAUGGGAGCUGUCUCAAAGAGGGAUCCAGUGAAAUUGUAGUGGAGGUGAAAAUUCCUCCUACCCGCGGCAAGACGGAAAGACCCCGUGGACCUUUACUACAGCUUGACACUGCUAUUUGGAUAAGAAUGUGCAGGAUAGGUGGGAGGCUUUGAGUAUAUGACGCCAGUUGUAUAUGAGCCAUUGUUGAGAUACCACUCUUUCUUAUUUGGGUAGCUAACCAGCUUGAGUUAUCCUCAAGUGGGACAAUGUCUGGUGGGUAGUUUGACUGGGGCGGUCGCCUCCCAAAUAAUAACGGAGGCUUACAAAGGUUGGCUCAGAACGGUUGGAAAUCGUUCGUAGAGUAUAAAGGUAUAAGCCAGCUUAACUGCAAGACAUACAAGUCAAGCAGAGACGAAAGUCGGUCUUAGUGAUCCGGUGGUUCUGUGUGGAAGGGCCAUCGCUCAAAGGAUAAAAGGUACCCCGGGGAUAACAGGCUGAUCUCCCCCAAGAGCUCACAUCGACGGGGAGGUUUGGCACCUCGAUGUCGGCUCAUCGCAUCCUGGGGCUGGAGCAGGUCCCAAGGGUAUGGCUGUUCGCCAUUUAAAGCGGUACGCGAGCUGGGUUCAGAACGUCGUGAGACAGUUCGGUCCCUAUCUGCCGUGGGCGUAAGAAGAUUGAAGAGAUUUGACCCUAGUACGAGAGGACCGGGUUGAACAAACCACUGGUGUAGCUGUUGUUCUGCCAAGAGCAUCGCAGCGUAGCUAAGUUUGGAAAGGAUAAACGCUGAAAGCAUCUAAGCGUGAAGCCAACUCUAAGAUGAAUCUUCUCUAAGCUCUCUAGAAGACUACUAGUUUGAUAGGCUGGGUGUGUAAUGGAUGAAAGUCCUUUAGCUGACCAGUACUAAUAGAGCGUUUGGCUUAUCUUUAAUAAAGCAU
This 2922-nucleotide ribosomal RNA is filed under the name Campylobacter coli. RNAcentral's name for it is "23S ribosomal RNA". It matches the Rfam family "Bacterial large subunit ribosomal RNA". Lineage: Bacteria; Pseudomonadati; Campylobacterota; Epsilonproteobacteria; Campylobacterales; Campylobacteraceae. The record is from RNAcentral.